AGUUCGAUCAUGGCUCAGAUUGAACGCUGGCGGGAUGCUUUACAUGCAAGUCGAACGGCAGCACGGACUUCGGUCUGGUGGCGAGUGGCGAACGGGUGAGUAAUGUAUCGGAACGUGCCUAGUAGCGGGGGAUAACUACGCGAAAGCGUAGCUAAUACCGCAUAUUGUUCUUCGGGGAAAGCGGGGGGACCUUCGGGCCUCGCACUAUUAGAGCGGCUGAUAUCGGAUUAGCUAGUUGGUGGGGUAACGGUCACCAAGGCGACGAUCCGUAGCUGGUUUGAGAGGACGACCAGCCACACUGGGACUGAGACAUGGCCCAGACUCACGGGAGGCAGCAGUGGGGAAUUUUGGACAAUGGGGGAAACCCCGAUCCAGCCAUCCCGUGGUGUGCGCGAUGAAGGCCUUCGGGUUGCAAAGCACUUUUGGCAGGAAAGAAACGGCACGGGAUAAUACUCCCGCAACUGGACGGUACCUGCAGAAUAAGCACCGGCUAACUACGCCAGCAGCCGCAGUAAUACGUAGGGUAAGCGUUAAUCGGAAUUACUGGGCGGCAGGCGGUUCGGAAAGAAAGGAUGCGGAAAUCCCGAGCUUAAUCUGAAACCGGCAUUUAACUACCGAGCUAGAGCAGGCGUUUCAGAGGAGGUGAAAUUCGUGUAGCAGUGAAAUGCGUAGAUAUGCGGAGGAACAAUUGAUGGCGAAGGCAGCCUCCUGGGAUAACACUGACGCUCAUGCACGAAAGCGUGGGGAGCAAACAGGAUUAGAUACCCUGGUAGUCCACGCCCUAAACGAUGUCAACUAGCUGUUGUGGGCUCGGCCCGUAGGUAGCGCAGCUAACGUGGUGGCUGACCGCCUGGGGAGUACGGUCGCAAGAUUAAAACUCAAAGGAAUUGACGGGGACCCGCACAAGCGGUGGAUGAUGUGGAUUAAUUCGAUGCAACGCGGAAAAAACUUAACGCGAAUUUCGCGAUAUGUUCAAUCCGAAGAGAUUUGGGAGUGCUCGCAAGAGAACCGGAACACAGGUGCUGCAUGGCUGUCGUCAGCUCGUGUCGUGAGAUGUUGGGUUAAGUCCCGCAACGAGCGCGCAACCCUUGUCAUUAGUUGCUACGAAAGGGCACUCUAAUGAGACUGCCGGUGACAAACCGAGGAAGGUGGGGAUGACGUCAAGUCCUCAUGGCCCUUAUGGGUAGGGCUUCACACGUCAUACAAUGGUCGGGACAGAGGGUCGCCAACCCGCGAGGGGGAACCAAUCCCAGAAACCCGAUCGUGGUCCGGAUCGCAGUCUGCAACUCGACUGCGUGAAGUCGGAAUCGCUAGUAAUCGCGGAUCAGCAUGUCGCGGUGAAUACGUUCCCUGGUCUUGUACACACCGCCCGCCUUCCACAUCACGUGGCGGGGUUUUACCAGAAGGAAGUAGUCAACUGCAGGAGGGCGAUUACCAAUGGUAGUAUUCAUGACUGGGGUGAAGUCGUAACAAGGUAA
Molecule: ribosomal RNA, 1478 nt
Filed under: uncultured Bordetella sp.
Lineage: Bacteria; Pseudomonadati; Pseudomonadota; Betaproteobacteria; Burkholderiales; Alcaligenaceae
Description: partial 16S-23S ribosomal RNA intergenic spacer
Rfam family: Bacterial small subunit ribosomal RNA
Source: RNAcentral